This 1069-nucleotide long non-coding RNA is filed under the name Marmota monax (woodchuck). Lineage: Eukaryota; Metazoa; Chordata; Mammalia; Rodentia; Sciuridae. The record is from RNAcentral.
UAAUGAGAGAAAUGACCACAGUAGGGGUGGGGGAGAAGAGGCAGGGCCUUAGGGGAUCUGUCUCCUGUCCUCCCUGCCCCCAACCAAGGUCUUAGCUGCCUCAGCUGUAGCUCUGAGCUCCUUAAUCUGAUGAUCAGUGCGGUGCUGGGGGGCGGGCUGGCAGAGGCUUUAGGAGGUAACAGGGGAUCUUAGGAGUCGCACUCUGCUAACAGAGCGUCACUGAGUAUCACACAAAGCCUGGGAAUCACAUUCCAAGCGCGGCUCCCCCUUCCAGAAGCAGCAGCCCCAGCUGGGCUAGACCCAGCAUGGGUGGUGCCUGGUCGAGGGCUGGGACUCAGGCCCUGCUUGCAGUUGGGCGUCACCUUGCUCUUUGUUCUUCAGGAGGAAAGUUUCCAAGAUUAAGGCUUUCCAGCCCUUUCUGCAUGGCUGAGGUUUUAUUGUUUGGUAGCUGCCCCCAACCUUACCCAAGUGCUCAAAUCCACUGGCUACCAAUCCCAGCUAGAAGUCAUUUGUACAUUGCAGGUAUUCAUUCCCCAGGUCAGCUAGAAAAAUGCUGUCAAGGUGAUCAGGGGAUGGAGAUUUGUUCUAGAACUAAGUGAGACUGCUGUAUAGUAUGCCUUCCUUAUCAGAUGGAGCUAUCCUUAGAGAACCCAAGGAGUUCCAAAAUUGAGGCUAGGAUGCCGAAUGAAAGCCCACAUGAUUCUAAGACUUAUCCCAGCAAGAUGAUGGUAGCUCAGGCCCAAAACUUUGGCUGGGGAGGAAGAGGUGCUGUGGGCAGGGCCCAACCCAGAAUUACUGUGCAGUAGAUGUCUCAGAGCCUCUAUACCCUCAUCUGAAAAAUGGGAAUUGUUUUUACCUAUGGAGUUGCUGUGAGGAGUGUCAGAUACAUGGAUACCACUAAAUAGGGUUAAUAUUACUUCACUCUUUCCCUGAGGUAUAGGGCAGAUAUGAAGGAGGUGAAUUUCUCAAGGUCAUUUAGUAUAUCUGUGGUUUGGGGGUAGGGUGGGGACAGUAGUUAUAUUCAGAAUAUUUAAUCUCUGGUACAGCCUGGGCACCAACUAGUCAGAAU